GAUGAAGAACGCAGCGAAAUGCGAUACGUAAUGUGAAUUGCAGAAUUCAGUGAAUCAUCGAAUCUUUGAACGCACAUUGCGCCAGCCAGUAUUCUGGCGGGCAUGCCUGUUCGAGCGUCAUUUCAACCAUCAAGCCCCCGGCUUGUGUUGGGGACCUGCGGCUGCCGCAGGCCCUGAAAACCAGUGGCGGGCUCGCUAGUCACUCCGAGCGUAGUAAUACAUCUCGCUCAGGGCGUGCUGCGGGUUCCGGCCGUUAAAAAGCCUUAUUUACCCAAGGUUGACCUCGGAUCAGGUAGGAAGACCCGCUGAACUUAAGCAUAUCAAUAAGCGGAGGA
This 335-nucleotide unclassified non-coding RNA is filed under the name soil metagenome. RNAcentral's name for it is "partial contains 5.8S ribosomal RNA, internal transcribed spacer 2, and large subunit ribosomal RNA". The stretch from base 1 to 120 matches the Rfam family "5.8S ribosomal RNA", at positions 35 to 154 of the family's 154-position model. The record is from RNAcentral.